This 497-nucleotide ribosomal RNA is filed under the name uncultured bacterium. RNAcentral describes it as "partial 16S ribosomal RNA". It matches the Rfam family "Bacterial small subunit ribosomal RNA", at positions 28 to 507 of the family's 1533-position model. The record is from RNAcentral.
GACGAACGCUGGCGGCGUGCCUAAUACAUGCAAGUUGAGCGAUGAAGAUUGGUGCUUGCACCAAUUUGAAGAGCAGCGAACGGGUGAGUAACGCGUGGGGAAUCUGCCUUUGAGCGGGGGACAACAUUUGGAAACGAAUGCUAAUACCGCAUAACAACUUUAAACAUAAGUUUUAAGUUUGAAAGAUGCAAUUGCAUCACUCAAAGAUGAUCCCGCGUUGUAUUAGCUAGUUGGUGAGGUAAAGGCUCACCAAGGCGAUGAUACAUAGCCGACCUGAGAGGGUGAUCGGCCACAUUGGGACUGAGACACGGCCCAAACUCCUACGGGAGGCAGCAGUAGGGAAUCUUCGGCAAUGGACGAAAGUCUGACCGAGCAACGCCGCGUGAGUGAAGAAGGUUUUCGGAUCGUAAAACUCUGUUGGUAGAGAAGAACGUUGGUGAGAGUGGAAAGCUCAUCAAGUGACGGUAACUAGCCAGAAAGGGACGGCUAACUACGUG